Molecule: ribosomal RNA, 844 nt
Filed under: Bacillus sp. HBS3-2_Pa
Lineage: Bacteria; Bacillati; Bacillota; Bacilli; Caryophanales; Bacillaceae
Description: bacterial SSU rRNA
Rfam family: Bacterial small subunit ribosomal RNA
Source: RNAcentral
AGUCGAGCGAAUCUUUGGGAGCUUGCUCCCAUUGGUUAGCGGCGGACGGGUGAGUAACACGUGGGCAACCUGCCUGUAAGACUGGGAUAACUUCGGGAAACCGGAGCUAAUACCGGAUAAUUCUUUUCCUCUCAUGAGGAAAAGCUGAAAGUCGGUUUACGCUGACACUUACAGAUGGGCCCGCGGCGCAUUAGCUAGUUGGUGAGGUAACGGCUCACCAAGGCGACGAUGCGUAGCCGACCUGAGAGGGUGAUCGGCCACACUGGGACUGAGACACGGCCCAGACUCCUACGGGAGGCAGCAGUAGGGAAUCUUCCACAAUGGACGAAAGUCUGAUGGAGCAACGCCGCGUGAGCGAUGAAGGCCUUCGGGUCGUAAAGCUCUGUUGUUAGGGAAGAACAAGUACCGGAGUAACUGCCGGUACCUUGACGGUACCUAACCAGAAAGCCACGGCUAACUACGUGCCAGCAGCCGCGGUAAUACGUAGGUGGCAAGCGUUGUCCGGAAUUAUUGGGCGUAAAGCGCGCGCAGGCGGUCCUUUAAGUCUGAUGUGAAAGCCCACGGCUCAACCGUGGAGGGUCAUUGGAAACUGGGGGACUUGAGUGCAGAAGAGGAAAGCGGAAUUCCACGUGUAGCGGUGAAAUGCGUAGAGAUGUGGAGGAACACCAGUGGCGAAGGCGGCUUUCUGGUCUGUAACUGACGCUGAGGCGCGAAAGCGUGGGGAGCAAACAGGAUUAGAUACCCUGGUAGUCCACGCCGUAAACGAUGAGUGCUAAGUGUUAGGGGGUUUCCGCCCCUUAGUGCUGCAGCUAACGCAUUAAGCACUCCGCCUGGGGAGUACGGC